GUUAUAUGGUCAAGUGAAGAAGCGCAUACGGUGGAUGCCUUGGCAGUCAGAGGCGAUGAAAGACGUGGUAGCCUGCGAAAAGCUUCGGGGAGUCGGCAAACAGACUUUGAUCCGGAGAUGUCUGAAUGGGGGAACCCAGCCAUCAUAAGAUGGUUAUCUUGUACUGAAUACAUAGGUGCAAGAGGCGAACCAGGGGAACUGAAACAUCUAAGUACCCUGAGGAAAAGAAAUCAACCGAGAUUCCCUUAGUAGUGGCGAGCGAACGGGGACUAGCCCUUAAGUGGCUUUGAGAUUAGCGGAACGCUCUGGAAAGUGCGGCCAUAGUGGGUGAUAGCCCUGUACGCGAAAAUCUCUUAGUCAUGAAAUCGAGUAGGACGGAGCACGAGAAACUUUGUCUGAAUAUGGGGGGACCAUCCUCCAAGGCUAAAUACUACUGACUGACCGAUAGUGAACUAGUACCGUGAGGGAAAGGCGAAAAGAACCCCGGAGAGGGGAGUGAAAUAGAUCCUGAAACCGUAUGCGUACAAGCAGUGGGAGCCCACUUUGUUGGGUGACUGCGUACCUUUUGUAUAAUGGGUCAGCGACUUAUUUUCAGUGGCGAGCUUAACCGAAUAGGGGAGGCGUAGCGAAAGCGAGUCUUAAUAGGGCGUCUAGUCGCUGGGAAUAGACCCGAAACCGGGCGAUCUAUCCAUGGGCAGGUUGAAGGUUGGGUAACACUAACUGGAGGACCGAACCGACUACCGUUGAAAAGUUAGCGGAUGACCUGUGGAUCGGAGUGAAAGGCUAAUCAAGCUCGGAGAUAGCUGGUUCUCCUCGAAAGCUAUUUAGGUAGCGCCUCAUGUAUCACUGUAGGGGGUAGAGCACUGUUUCGGCUAGGGGGUCAUCCCGACUUACCAAACCGAUGCAAACUCCGAAUACCUACAAGUGCCGAGCAUGGGAGACACACGGCGGGUGCUAACGUCCGUCGUGAAAAGGGAAACAACCCAGACCGUCAGCUAAGGUCCCAAAGUUAUGGUUAAGUGGGAAACGAUGUGGGAAGGCUUAGACAGCUAGGAGGUUGGCUUAGAAGCAGCCACCCUUUAAAGAAAGCGUAAUAGCUCACUAGUCGAGUCGGCCUGCGCGGAAGAUGUAACGGGGCUCAAACCAUACACCGAAGCUACGGGUAUCACUUAGGUGAUGCGGUAGAGGAGCGUUCUGUAAGCCUGUGAAGGUGAGUUGAGAAGCUUGCUGGAGGUAUCAGAAGUGCGAAUGCUGACAUGAGUAACGACAAUGGGUGUGAAAAACACCCACGCCGAAAGACCAAGGUUUCCUGCGCAACGUUAAUCGACGCAGGGUUAGUCGGUCCCUAAGGCGAGGCUGAAAAGCGUAGUCGAUGGAAAACAGGUUAAUAUUCCUGUACUUCUGGUUAUUGCGAUGGAGGGACGGAGAAGGCUAGGCCAGCUUGGCGUUGGUUGUCCAAGUUUAAGGUGGUAGGCUGGAAUCUUAGGUAAAUCCGGGAUUCUAAGGCCGAGAGCUGAUGACGAGUUACCCUUUGGGUGACGAAGUGGUUGAUGCCAUGCUUCCAAGAAAAGCUUCUAAGCUUCAGGUAACCAGGAACCGUACCCCAAACCGACACAGGUGGUUGGGUAGAGAAUACCAAGGCGCUUGAGAGAACUCGGGUGAAGGAACUAGGCAAAAUGGCACCGUAACUUCGGGAGAAGGUGCGCCGGUGAGGGUGAAGCACUUGCUGCGUAAGCCCACGCCGGUCGAAGAUACCAGGCCGCUGCGACUGUUUAUUAAAAACACAGCACUCUGCAAACACGAAAGUGGACGUAUAGGGUGUGACGCCUGCCCGGUGCCGGAAGGUUAAUUGAUGGGGUUAGCUAACGCGAAGCUCUUGAUCGAAGCCCCGGUAAACGGCGGCCGUAACUAUAACGGUCCUAAGGUAGCGAAAUUCCUUGUCGGGUAAGUUCCGACCUGCACGAAUGGCGUAACGAUGGCGGCGCUGUCUCCACCCGAGACUCAGUGAAAUUGAAAUCGCUGUGAAGAUGCAGUGUAUCCGCGGCUAGACGGAAAGACCCCGUGAACCUUUACUAUAGCUUUGCACUGGACUUUGAAUUUGCUUGUGUAGGAUAGGUGGGAGGCUUUGAAGCGUGGACGCCAGUUCGCGUGGAGCCAUCCUUGAAAUACCACCCUGGCAACUUUGAGGUUCUAACUCAGGUCCGUUAUCCGGAUCGAGGACAGUGUAUGGUGGGUAGUUUGACUGGGGCGGUCUCCUCCUAAAGAGUAACGGAGGAGUACGAAGGUGCGCUCAGACCGGUCGGAAAUCGGUCGUAGAGUAUAAAGGCAAAAGCGCGCUUGACUGCGAGACAGACACGUCGAGCAGGUACGAAAGUAGGUCUUAGUGAUCCGGUGGUUCUGUAUGGAAGGGCCAUCGCUCAACGGAUAAAAGGUACUCCGGGGAUAACAGGCUGAUACCGCCCAAGAGUUCAUAUCGACGGCGGUGUUUGGCACCUCGAUGUCGGCUCAUCACAUCCUGGGGCUGAAGCCGGUCCCAAGGGUAUGGCUGUUCGCCAUUUAAAGUGGUACGCGAGCUGGGUUUAGAACGUCGUGAGACAGUUCGGUCCCUAUCUGCCGUGGACGUUUGAGAUUUGAGAGGGGCUGCUCCUAGUACGAGAGGACCGGAGUGGACGAACCUCUGGUGUUCCGGUUGUCACGCCAGUGGCAUUGCCGGGUAGCUAUGUUCGGAAAAGAUAACCGCUGAAAGCAUCUAAGCGGGAAACUUGCCUCAAGAUGAGAUCUCACUGGGACCUUGAGUCCCCUGAAGGGCCGUCGAAGACUACGACGUUGAUAGGUGGGGUGUGUAAGCGCUGUGAGGCGUUGAGCUAACCCAUACUAAUUGCCCGUGAGGCUUGACCAUAUAACACCCAAGCAAUU
Molecule: ribosomal RNA, 2916 nt
Filed under: Pseudomonas sp. MPDS
Lineage: Bacteria; Pseudomonadati; Pseudomonadota; Gammaproteobacteria; Pseudomonadales; Pseudomonadaceae
Description: 23S ribosomal RNA
Rfam family: Bacterial large subunit ribosomal RNA
Source: RNAcentral